CGCCUCCCAAAAGGUAACGGAGGCGCUCAAAGGUUCUCUCAGUACGGUCGGAAAUCGUACGUAGAGUGUAAAGGCAAAAGAGAGCUUGAUUGCAAGACAUACAGGUCGAGCAAGGAUGAAAAUCGGACUUAGUGAUCCGGUGGUUCUGCGUGGAAGGGCCAUCGCUCAACGGAUAAAAGCUACCCUGGGGAUAACAGGCUUAUCUCCCCCAAGAGUCCACAUCGACGGGGAGGUUUGGCACCUCGAUGUCGGCUCAUCACAUCCUGGGGCUGUAGUAGGUCCCAAGGGUUGGGCUGUUCGCCCAUUAAAGUGGUACGCGAGCUGGGUUCAGAACGUCGUGAGACAGUUCGGUCCCUAUCCGUCGCAGGCGUAGGAAAUUUGAGAAGACCUGUCCUUAGUACGAGAGGACCGGGAUGGACGUACCUCUGGUGUACCAGUUGUCCUGCCAAG
RNAcentral lists this ribosomal RNA (450 nucleotides) under Clostridioides difficile. RNAcentral describes it as "partial 23S ribosomal RNA". It matches the Rfam family "Bacterial large subunit ribosomal RNA", at positions 2284 to 2733 of the family's 2925-position model. Lineage: Bacteria; Bacillati; Bacillota; Clostridia; Peptostreptococcales; Peptostreptococcaceae. The record is from RNAcentral.